GGCUCUCGGCGCCGUCGCGCCUUCGCUCGCCCGCUUAGGCCGUGCUCGCGGUGGCGUGGGAGACAGAGAGCCCAGGGAGGACCCUGGAACAUGCAGUGGUAUGGAAGACGCCUAAGAAAGGGCUUCUCUUUCCACUCACGAAAAUCAGUGUGUGAGCUCGAAGCCAUUUCCCAGCGUGUCCGCCUCAACUCCCUCAUUCAACAGAUGAGGAAUUCCUCCAGGGAAAUGCAGUGAUGCGCUCACGGCUGCCGGCGGCCCAGCGCCAAGGGGCGCUCCACAGCCCCGCGGCCCGAAGCCCUCGACUCGGCUGCCACGCAGGCCCCGCGGCCCCGCUCGGACUCCCAGGAUCGGCUUCCGAGCGGGACAGCGCUGCAGUCCACGAGUCCGGGCAGGGGCGCCUCCAGGCCGGAGCGGUUUCCUGCCUCGGGCACUCUGCUGUCUCCACAAACGGUUUUUGGAGGCACACACACGGAUACUUUAAACACGUCGGUGAUGAAUCGGUACCCAGCUGCCAGUGGCGGAGCUUCCUGGGCGGGGCCGCGGGCGCGCGGCGGCUUCAUUUC
Molecule: long non-coding RNA, 563 nt
Filed under: Homo sapiens (human)
Lineage: Eukaryota; Metazoa; Chordata; Mammalia; Primates; Hominidae
Description: HSALNT0357497
Source: RNAcentral